Molecule: ribosomal RNA, 369 nt
Filed under: uncultured bacterium
Lineage: Bacteria
Description: bacterial SSU rRNA
Rfam family: Bacterial small subunit ribosomal RNA
Source: RNAcentral
GGAGGUGGCAAGCGUUACUCGGAAUUAUUGGGUGUAAAGGGCAAGUAGGUGGCUUGGUAAGUGAGAGGUGAAAUACUCCGGCUCAAUCGGAGAACUGCCUUUCAUACUGCCUUGCUUGAGGAUGACAGGGGGAAAUGGAAUUCCAGGUGUAAGGGUGAAAUCUGUAGAUAUCUGGAAGAACACCAGCGGCGAAGGCGAUUUCCUGGGUCACUCCUGACACUGAAUUGCGAAAGCUAGGGGGGCAAACAGAAUUAGAUACUCUGGUAGUCCUAGCCGUAAACGAUGAGCACUAGGUGUUGGCUCCGUUAGGAGUCAGUGCCGCAGCUAACGCAUUAAGUGCUCCACCUGAGGACUACGGUCGCAAGGCUA